Molecule: long non-coding RNA, 494 nt
Filed under: Pongo abelii (Sumatran orangutan)
Lineage: Eukaryota; Metazoa; Chordata; Mammalia; Primates; Hominidae
Description: lincRNA
Source: RNAcentral
UUUUUGGACAUUCAAAAUGCAACUGCCACAUAUACUUCCAAGUGAUUUAAUAGGCUUUCAAUGGUACUACGGAUCCUGCAUGAUUUACCUGGAGAAGACAGUUGGAGAACUUCCAGUUCCUUCAGAUUCACACCUUCGGACAAGAGGGUGGCAAACUCUAUAUUGAGUUAGGAGCACAUAAGCUCCCAACUCAGAGCUUGAGAUGUAGACUUCUGCAGGACUUCCCAAUUGCAACAUCCUGGAACAGUGCCCACCUGGCCUCGAGUGCAUUCUUGACUUCCCUCUGCUGGAGCAGCUGGUGCCUUUUGGGUCCUCACAAGGAUAUUGACCAACCACCUUUCCAUGUGGAGAGGAAAGACAAGGGAACAGGUCAACAGCUCACAUCUUAUUGCAAUAAGCAGAGCGGCUCCUUCCUGGGUGUAGUCCUGACCUCCCGGCAAGCCCUCAGAGGCUGAUCCUGAAGACACGCUGGCACCUCUACACUCCUUUAAGAG